AAUUAUGCGUAUAUUGGGGCAGCGUUAACUAAAUCUAUUCGCUUAGUAGCUUUUUUUUUAAAUAUGGCAAUUGACUUUUAACAACGCAGAUGAUGUUGCCAGUACCGUGUUUUUAAAAAUCCUCGAUUUUUAUAUGGAUAUGUACGUAUUCUGUUAAAAGAAUUUCAUCCGAACAGACAAGCGUGUACCCCAUGCCUCCAUCUCUCCCAUAGACAAUUGAUUGCUCAAAAGCAUAUUAUGUGUUCCGUUUGACGUCCGAAGUCCAUUAUGAGAGUACAUCGUAUGAUUUCCACUGCAGGUCGCUAAAUUUGACUACUUCCGUUUCCUAAGUCCCAUCUACAGCGCCCUCUAUAACGUCUGGAACCGAACCAACAAGCAAAGACAAGCCGCCAUAUUUGUCAUUGUUGCGUCGUUUUUUCCCACGUGCAGUCGUUAAUAUUUUAAGAAGUUAGUAAUUUAAAAUGUUAUAAGCAACUUUCGAGAUUUGAAGUAGAAAGUUUGUUUCAAACAAGUGUUAUGAUUAUCUUCCGUUUCGUGAAACCUCCAAGGCUCUACAAUGAGUGACGAGGUUAUCGCGCCUUUCAAAGUAAAAUUUAAGUGAGGAUAGUUCUUCGAUUUCUUCGGAUAUUUCUUCGGGUUCGUCGGAAAAUAAAGACUAGGAACCAGCAAGAAAACUUCGAAAAAGUGACUGGUCGCGAGAUCUGAAUAAAAGGUUUGACUUACUGUCGCAAUAAUGGACGUUAUAGAGGGCGCUGUAGAUGGGACUUAGGAAACGGAAGUAGUCAAAUUUAGCGACCUGCAGUGGAAAUCAUACGAUGUACUCUCAUAAUGGACUUCGGACGUCUUAGGAAACAUAAUACAAAUUUUAU
Long non-coding RNA from Bombyx mori (domestic silkworm), 869 nucleotides. RefSeq lists it as uncharacterized. The record is from RefSeq and is a predicted model, not a curated record. NCBI's taxonomy places the organism in Eukaryota, Metazoa, Arthropoda, Insecta, Lepidoptera, Bombycidae. The transcript has 2 exons.